Molecule: ribosomal RNA, 493 nt
Filed under: uncultured bacterium
Lineage: Bacteria
Description: partial 16S ribosomal RNA
Rfam family: Bacterial small subunit ribosomal RNA
Source: RNAcentral
GACGAACGCUGGCGGCGUGCUUAACACAUGCAAGUCGAACGGUGAAGCGCCUUCCUUUUUGGUGGGUGUGGAUGAGUGGCGAACGGGUGAGUAACACGUGAGUAACCUGCCCCCUUCUUCUGGAUAACCGCAUGAAAGUGUGGCUAAUACGGGAUAUUCUGGGUCUGUCGCAUGAUGGGUCUGGGAAAGAUAUUGUUUCGGUGGGGGAUGGGCUCGCGGCCUAUCAGCUUGUUGGUGGGGUGAUGGCCUACCAAGGCGGUGACGGGUAGCCGGCCUGAGAGGGUGGACGGUCACACGGGGAUGGAGACCCGGCCCAGACCCCUCCGGGGGGCAGCGGUGGGGAAUUUUGCCAAAGGGGGGGAAGCUUGAUGCAGCGCCCCCGGGUGAGGGAGGGGGGCCUUCGGGUUGUGACCCUUUUUCGGCAGGGAAGCAGGCCUGCCUCUUUUGGGGGGGGGUUGACGGUAGUGGGAAAAGAAGCGCCGGCUAACUACGU